GAUGAACGCUGGCGGCGUGCCUAAUACAUGCAAGUCGAGCGGACGGACGAGAAGCUUGCUUCUCUGAUGUUAGCGGCGGACGGGUGAGUAACACGUGGAUAACCUACCUAUAAGACUGGGAUAACUUCGGGAAACCGGAGCUAAUACCGGAUAAUAUUUUGAACCGCAUGGUUCAAAAGUGAAAGACGGUCUUGCUGUCACUUAUAGAUGGAUCCGCGCUGCAUUAGCUAGUUGGUAAGGUAACGGCUUACCAAGGCAACGAUGCAUAGCCGGCCUGAGAGGGUGAUCGGCCACACGGGAACUGAGACACGGUCCAGACUCCUACGGGAGGCAGCAGUAGGGAAUCUUCCGCAAUGGGCGAAAGCCUGACGGAGCAACGCCGCGUGAGUGAUGAAGGUCUUCGGAUCGUAAAACUCUGUUAUUAGGGAAGAACAUAUGUGUAAGUAACUGUGCACAUCUUGACGGUACCUAAUCAGAAAGCCACGGCUAACUACGUG
RNAcentral lists this ribosomal RNA (497 nucleotides) under uncultured bacterium. RNAcentral's name for it is "partial 16S ribosomal RNA". It matches the Rfam family "Bacterial small subunit ribosomal RNA", at positions 28 to 507 of the family's 1533-position model. The record is from RNAcentral.